UACGUAGGGUCCGAGCGUUGUCCGGAAUUAUUGGGCGUAAAGAGCUCGUAGGCGGUUUGUCGCGUCUGCUGUGAAAUCCCGGGGCUUAACCCCGGGCGUGCAGUGGAUACGGGCCGGCUGGAGGCAGGCAGGGGAGAAUGGAAUUCCCGGUGUAGCGGUGAAAUGCGCAGAUAUCGGGAGGAACACCGGUGGCGAAGGCGGUUCUCUGGGCCUGUACUGACGCUGAGGAGCGAAAGCGUGGGGAGCGAACAGG
Molecule: ribosomal RNA, 253 nt
Filed under: uncultured bacterium
Lineage: Bacteria
Description: partial 16S ribosomal RNA
Rfam family: Bacterial small subunit ribosomal RNA
Source: RNAcentral